AGGGAAAGUCGGGCUGGAGAGAUGGCUCAGAGGGUAAGAGCACUGACUGCUCUUCCAGAGGUCCUGAGUUCAAUUCCCAGCAACCACAUGGUGGCUCACAAUCAUCUCUAGUGGGAUCUAACGCCCUUUUCUGGCAUGAAGGUAUACCUGCAGAUAGAGCACUCAUAUAU
Molecule: non-coding RNA, 170 nt
Organism: Peromyscus maniculatus bairdii (prairie deer mouse)
Lineage: Eukaryota; Metazoa; Chordata; Mammalia; Rodentia; Cricetidae
Source: RefSeq, a predicted model, not a curated record